CCUACGGGUGGCAGCAGUGAGGAAUAUUGGUCAAUGGACGCAAGUCUGAACCAGCCAUGCCGCGUGCAGGAAGACGGCUCUAUGAGUUGUAAACUGCUUUUGUACGAGGGUAAACGCAGAUACGCGUAUCUGUCUGCAAGUAUCGUACGAAUAAGGAUCGGCUAACUCCGUGCCAGCAGCCGCGGUAAUACGGAGGAUUCAAGCGUUAUCCGGAUUUAUUGGGUUUAAAGGGUGCGUAGGCGGUCGGCUAAGUUAGAGGUGAAAUCCCGGGGCUCAACUUCGGAAUUGCCUCUGAUACUGUUCGGCUAGAGCGUAGUUGCGGUAGGCGGAAUGUAUGGUGUAGCGGUGAAAUGCUUAGAGAUCAUACAGAACACCGAUUGCGAAGGCAGCUUACCAAGCUACUUCUGACGUUGAGGCACGAAAGCGUGGGGAGCAAACAGGAUUAGAUACCCUAGUAGUC
Molecule: ribosomal RNA, 460 nt
Filed under: uncultured bacterium
Lineage: Bacteria
Description: partial 16S ribosomal RNA
Rfam family: Bacterial small subunit ribosomal RNA
Source: RNAcentral